UUCGCAAUGCCCGAAAGGGUGACGAAGCGACGCCGCGUGGGUGAGGAAGGCCCUCGGGUUGUAAAGCCCUGUCAGGAGUUAAGAAAUGUAAGUGCGCUAAUAUCGCAUUUAUUUGACGAAGGCUCCAAAGGAAGCCACGGCUAACUCUGUGCCAGCAGCCGCGGUAAUACAGAGGUGGCAAGCGUUGUUCGGAAUUAUAGGGCGUAAAGAGCACGUAGGUGGGUUUGUAAGUCAGAUGUGAAAGCCUUCUGUUCAACGGAAGAAUUGCAUCUGAAACUACAAGUCUUGAGUGUAGGAGGGGAGAAUGGAACUUCUGGUGGAGCGGUGAAAUGCGUAGAUAUCAGAAGGAACGCCGGCGGCGAAAGCGAUUCUCUGGCCUAUUACUGACACUCAGUGUGCGAAAGCUAGGGGAGCAAACGGGAUUAGAUACCCCGGUAGUCCUAGCCGUAAACGAUGGGCACUAAGUAGAGGGGUUUU
This 477-nucleotide ribosomal RNA is filed under the name Candidatus Scalindua brodae. RNAcentral's name for it is "bacterial SSU rRNA". It matches the Rfam family "Bacterial small subunit ribosomal RNA", at positions 365 to 832 of the family's 1533-position model. The record is from RNAcentral. Lineage: Bacteria; Pseudomonadati; Planctomycetota; Candidatus Brocadiia; Candidatus Brocadiales; Candidatus Scalinduaceae.